AACGAACGCUGGCGGCAUGCCUAACACAUGCAAGUCGAACGCGUGUAGCAAUACACGAGUGGCGGACGGGUGAGUAACGCGUGGGAACCUGCCCAAUGGUAGGGAAUAACUGCGGGAAACUGCAGCUAAUACCCUAUGCUCCCUACGGGGGAAAGGUUUAUCGCCAUUGGAGGGGCCCGCGUCGGAUUAGCUAGUUAGCGGGGUAACGGCCCACCAAGGCUACGAUCCGUAGCUGGUCUGAGAGGAUGAUCAGCCACACUGGGACUGAGAUACGGCCCAGACUCCUACGGGAGGCAGCAGUGGGGAAUAUUGGACAAUGGGGGAAACCCUGAUCCAGCAAUGCCGCGUGAGUGAAGAAGGCCUUAGGGUUGUAAAGCUCUUUC
This 383-nucleotide ribosomal RNA is filed under the name uncultured bacterium. RNAcentral describes it as "bacterial SSU rRNA". It matches the Rfam family "Bacterial small subunit ribosomal RNA", at positions 29 to 437 of the family's 1533-position model. The record is from RNAcentral.